Molecule: unclassified non-coding RNA, 71 nt
Filed under: Sarcina sp. DSM 11001
Lineage: Bacteria; Bacillati; Bacillota; Clostridia; Eubacteriales; Clostridiaceae
Source: RNAcentral
AACCGCCGUAUGCCGAACGGCUUGUACGGUGGUGUGAGAGGACGGGGGCGCAACGCCCCCUCCUACUCGAU